AGGACGGAACCCGUAAACAUGCAAGUCGAGCGGUAACAGAUCUAGCUUGCUAGACGCUGACGAGCGGCGGACGGGUGAGUAAUGCAUAGGAAUCUGCCCGGUAGUGGGGGAUAACCUGGGGAAACCCAGGCUAAUACCGCAUACGUCCUACGGGAGAAAGGGGGCUCCGGCUCCCGCUAUUGGAUGAGCCUAUGUCGGAUUAGCUGGUUGGUGAGGUAAUGGCUCACCAAGGCGACGAUCCGUAGCUGGUCUGAGAGGAUGAUCAGCCACAUCGGGACUGAGACACGGCCCGAACUCCUACGGGAGGCAGCAGUGGGGAAUAUUGGACAAUGGGGGCAACCCUGAUCCAGCCAUGCCGCGUGUGUGAAGAAGGCCCUCGGGUUGUAAAGCACUUUCAGCGAGGAAGAACGCCUGGUGGUUAAUACCCAUCAGGAAAGACAUCACUCGCAGAAGAAGCACCGGCUAACUCCGUGCCAGCAGCCGCGGUAAUACGGAGGGUGCAAGCGUUAAUCGGAAUUACUGGGCGUAAAGCGCGCGUAGGUGGCUUGAUAAGCCGGUUGUGAAAGCCCCGGGCUCAACCUGGGAACGGCAUCCGGAACUGUCAAGCU
Molecule: ribosomal RNA, 608 nt
Filed under: Vreelandella sulfidaeris
Lineage: Bacteria; Pseudomonadati; Pseudomonadota; Gammaproteobacteria; Oceanospirillales; Halomonadaceae
Description: bacterial SSU rRNA
Rfam family: Bacterial small subunit ribosomal RNA
Source: RNAcentral